Molecule: ribosomal RNA, 505 nt
Filed under: uncultured bacterium
Lineage: Bacteria
Description: partial 16S ribosomal RNA
Rfam family: Bacterial small subunit ribosomal RNA
Source: RNAcentral
GACGAACGCUGGCGGCGUGCCUAAUACAUGCAAGUCGAACGCACAGUUUAUACCGUAGCUUGCUACACCAUAGACUGUGAGUUGCGAACGGGUGAGUAACGCGUAGGUAACCUGCCUGGUAGCGGGGGAUAACUAUUGGAAACGAUAGCUAAUACCGCAUAAUAUUAAUUAUUGCAUGAUAAUUAAUUGAAAGGUGCAAUUGCACCACUACCAGAUGGACCUGCGUUGUAUUAGCUAGUAGGUGAGGUAACGGCUCACCUAGGCGACGAUACAUAGCCGACCUGAGAGGGUGAUCGGCCACAAUGGGACUGAGACACGGCCCAGACUCCUACGGGAGGCAGCAGUAGGGAAUCUUCGGCAAUGGACGAAAGUCUGACCGAGCAACGCCGCGUGAGUGAAGAAGGGUUUCGGAUCGUAAAGCUCUGUUGUAAGAGAAGAACGGGUGUGAGAGUGGAAAGUUCACACUGUGACGGUAUCUUACCAGAAAGGGACGGCUAACUACGUG